Long non-coding RNA from Phacochoerus africanus (Common warthog), 2625 nucleotides. RefSeq lists it as uncharacterized. The record is from RefSeq and is a predicted model, not a curated record. The transcript has 5 exons. Lineage: Eukaryota; Metazoa; Chordata; Mammalia; Artiodactyla; Suidae.
CCCACAUCCGCCGGAAGUGCGUCCGUCCGGGCGAGGAAGGAAAUAGGGCGCGGGGCGCCGACUGCAGGCCGUGAUGAAACGUGGGUGAGAAGCAGGUGAAUGAGCCCAGCCAGGCAAGCAGCUGAGCCUGCUUAUUAGGAGAUGUGAGAGCAUGCCCGCCUGAAAAACUCCCGUGGCUUUGCUCGAAUUCUCAUCCCUCCGAAAGUAGAGAAAGGGCGGGGUGACGUAGACGCCUGCCUUUGCCAGAAGACGCAGUUGACUGAUGCUGUUGAAUGAUGAGCAGCAAGAGCCGUGGAAGAACUCCACUCAGAGGCAGUCAUGAUAAACCAGAGCAUCAGCCCUUUCCGCUGGGAUACCAAUAAGUCUUGAACUUCAAAACUGCUGACCUAAAAAGGAUACUUGAGAAGGAGCAAGUCUUUCCUUUUUUCUUUUAAAGAAAGCAACACCAGAAGCAGUCGAACUUCCUUGUUCACUUAGGUGCAUGCAAAAAAGAAAACAGGUUUACUCUGCUUCAGGACCCUCUCUUACCCCUCAUGGCGUGAGCCUGAAGCCUGUCCACUGAGGAACGUUCUAAGAACUUCCAGAUCAUUCCAUGGAACUACAGCAGAAAGGACCCGAGGUGAGAAGAGAGAUCCUGUGUUCUGACCACUCUCCAGAAGGAAGUAUCGCCGGAGGGACAUCUUUGAGAGGCGACCUUCCAGACAUCUUCUGGAACACUCUGAAGCAAGAGCGCCAGCAGCCUUUCAGAAGACCCCAUUGCAUCCCUGCGCCCUCGAUUUCAGCAUUUCUUAAACUGUCUGGAACACACAGACAUACUCUUGGAGGCCUCAGAGUUCUAAAAACGAUCUGCAAAUUUUUGUCUUUUCCUUGGGAUCGCCAUCCAAAAAGAAGUGAUACGUGAGCCUCCUCCGGUGACCGCGUUUCUUUUUUAAUUAGUACACUUUAUGUGGACGAGUGGUUUGAGGUUUACAGAGAAACUGAGUGAAAAGUGUAAACUUACCUUCCAGCCCUGACUCCUCCACCUCCAGUUCCCACGAUUAACAGCUUCCGUCAGGGUGGCGUAUUCGUCACAGUUGAGGAGCCCAUAGUAAUACAUUCUUAUUCAUUAAAGCCCAUUCUUGGCACUAGGGUUCAUUCUCUGAGUUAUACAUCCUAGGAGUUUUGACAAAUGCAAUGACUCCUUUUUAUCUGAGGACCACCAGAGAGAUUUUCAGUCUUACCUUGCUUUUGUGUUUCGAGACCAGUUCCGCUUUUCAUUGUCCCGGAUGAGUAAGACAGGAACAGAGUUGGACUUAAGAGGCAACACGUGAUGACAGUUUUAGUGACGGAAACUCACACGCCUCAGACAUGAAGGUUUGUCUGUGGUUCAGAAGAAGAAACGGGUUUGCUUGGAGUUACCCCAAGGCGUGCCGUGGUCCGCCCUCCCCAAGGCAGACGCCAUCAUCGCUGCCAUGUUCACAUCCUGAAAGGUGAUGUUUGUUUCAGCAAAUAGUGUUUCUCACAUUAAUAUAAGGCUAUUGCAAUAUCGCUGACAUUGUAGUUUGCAUUUGCCUUUGCAUUUGGAGGUGUAGUUUAAUUUGUAAGUUUGCAUCACUGUGAGUAUAGGGACUUUAUACCUAGUCAUAUGCCCAUAAUUAAGAAAUGCUUUAGAGAAAAUAUUUGUACGUGAUAUGACUGAUAGGAGGGGAAUAUCCAAAAUAUGUAACAGCUCAUACAACUCAGUAUCAAAAAACAAAACAAAGCAAAACACAAUUAAACGUGGGCAGAAGACCUUGAUAGACGUUUUUCUAGAGAAGACAGGCAGAAGGCCAACAGCCACAUGAAAAAAUGGUCACUAUAAUUACACCAGAGAAAUGUGAGUCAAAGUUGCCAUGAGAACACUUCACAGCUGUCAGAACGGCUACCAUCAAAAAGACCACACAUAACAAACGUUGGCAAGGAUGUGGCGAAAAGAAACACUUGCACACUGCUGGUGGGCGUGUAAACUAGUGCAGUCACUGUGGACGUCAAUAUGGGGGUUCCUCCAAAACUAAAAGUAGAACUGCCAUGUGAUUCCGCAGUUCCACUCCUGAGUGUGUGUCCCAAGAAACUGGAAGCACUCAUUUGAAAAGAUGUAUGCACCCUGGUGUCUGCAGCAGCAUUAUUUAUGGUAGCCAAGAUGCGGAAGCAAGCCAAGUGCCCAUCCAUAGAUGAAUGAAGAAAAUGUGGUGUAUGUGUAUAUAUUCGUGUGUGUGCGUGCGUGCCAUAAAAAGGAGAUUCUGUCAUUUGGAGCAAUGUCAAUGGACCUCGAGAAUAUUAUGCUCAGUGAAAUAAGACACAGAGAAAGAUGAAUACCGUAUGAUAAAAAUUCUAUGUGGAAUCUAAGAAAUAAACGAAUGUAUAUAACAAAACAGAAACAGACUCACGGGUAUAGAGAACAAACUAGUGGUUUCCAGUGGGGAAAGGGGAUGGUCAAGGCACAGGUGUGGGAUUAUAGGCUUAAGAAACAAACUGCUAUAAAAAUGGAUAAGCAAAAAGGAUAUAUUGUACGGCACGGGGGAAUACAGCCAUUGUUUUGUAAUCACUUUAAAUGGAGUAUAGUCUAAAAAUCCUGAAUCACUCUGUUUUAAACCUGAAACUAAUAUA